GCGCAAGACAAGGGCCAUGAGCUCAGGAGUCCUGCACACCUAGAUCUGAACACAGCUCUUCCAUGCACCUGUGGCGCAUCACUUCCUCUCUGAGCCUCAGAGUCAAAUCCAGACCACCUGACUACUAUUUCCUUUGCACUAUGUCUGCUACCUCAGCAGGCUAUUGUGAGAACCUCACAGAGAAAUGCAAUUAAAAGCAAGUUUUCAACUAUGGAGCUAUACUGUUUUAAUACUGUUAAGUCAUUAGAUUAGAGGAAGAACUAGAACCUAAGUUAGGAUUUUAAGGGUGAUAAAUAUUACUUUUUCUUAUAAGGCUAGCAGUAUUUCCUGUACUUCAAAAAUUCUCAAUUUAAAAUCAGAAAAAAUAAAAUAAUGGGAAAAUGGGCAAGGAACCUGACCUGAAUAGGUAUUUCUCCCAAGAUAUAUGAAUGGCCAAUAUGCACAUAAAAAGAUGCUCAUCAUUAGCCAUCAGAGGAACGUAAAUUAGAACCACAAUGGGGCAUCAUUUUAUAAUUCAUACAUGAGGAUGACUAUAAUAAAAAAGACAAAUAGCAGCAAGUGUUGGCAAGGGUGUGGAGAAACUGAAACUCUCAUAGACUGCUGAUGAAAAUGUAACAUACGCAGUUCCUGUGGAAAAAGAGUCUGGCACCUGCUCAGAAGGUUAAACGGUUACUGUGUGACCCAGCAAUUUCACUCUGAGGUAUAUACCCUUAAGAAUUGAAAAUAUAUGUAAAACUUGUACACAAAUGUUCACAGCAGCAUUAUUCAUAAUAGCCCAAAAGUGUAAAUAAUGCAAAUAUCCAUCAAUUGAUAAAUGGAUAAACAAAAUGUGAUAUAUUUCACACAAUGAAAUGGCCAUAAAAAGAAAUGUAGUACUGACACAUUCUACAACAUGGAUGAACCUUGAAAAUAUGCUAAGUGAAAGAACUCACAAAAGACUACAUAUUAUAUAAUUUCAUUUAUAUAAAAUGUCCAGAAUAGGCAAAUCCAUAAAAGGCAGAAAGUAGGUAAGUGGUCACCCAGGGAUGGAGUGACGGUGGUUUCAGUUCAGGGUUUCUUUUAUGAUCAAUGAAAAUGUUCUCAAAUUGAUUGUGGUAAUGGGUUGCCCAACUCUGUGAAUAUACUAAAACCAUUAAAACAGUAUCUUCAAAUGGGUGAGUUUACGUCAUGUAAAUAUCUCAAUGAAGCCCCCCCUUUUCAAUGAAGGCCCCAUUUUUUAAUCUUCUAAUUUCACCAUAAACUGCAUCUGCAAUACUAGGCACUUAUUAAAGUUUACUUUAAACCAACUGGAUUUUUCUUAUCACUGCCUAAUAGUUGUUAGAAUUCUACAAAUUCUGUAGCGUUUGUAUUGUAAUUUGUUAAUAUCCUUCAAAGAGAUGACUUUAAAUUACUUUUAAUUUAUGUGCUUAAACAUGGAAUACUCACAGAUAUAAUG
Molecule: long non-coding RNA, 1435 nt
Filed under: Callithrix jacchus (white-tufted-ear marmoset)
Lineage: Eukaryota; Metazoa; Chordata; Mammalia; Primates; Cebidae
Description: lncRNA (ENSCJAG00000074648.1)
Source: RNAcentral